Molecule: ribosomal RNA, 439 nt
Filed under: uncultured bacterium
Lineage: Bacteria
Description: bacterial SSU rRNA
Rfam family: Bacterial small subunit ribosomal RNA
Source: RNAcentral
CCUACGGGCGGCACCAGUGGGGAAUAUUGGACAAUGGGCGAAAGCCUAAUCCAGCAAUGCCGCGUGUGUGAAGAAGGUCUUCGGAUUGUAAAGCACUUUCGACGGGGACGAUGAUGACGGUACCCGUAGAAGAAGCCCCGGCUAACUUCGUGCCAGCAGCCGCGGUAAUACGAAGGGGGCUAGCGUUGCUCGGAAUGACUGGGCGUAAAGGGCGCGUAGGCGGUUUAUGCAGUCAGAUGUGAAAUCCCCGGGCUUAACCUGGGAACUGCAUUUGAGACGCAUAGACUAGAGGUCGAGAGAGGGUUGUGGAAUUCCCAGUGUAGAGGUGAAAUUCGUAGAUAUUGGAAGAACACCGGUGGCGAAGGCGGCAACCUGGCUCGAUACUGACGCUGAGGCACGAAAGCGUGGGGAGCAAACAGGAUUAGAUACCAGCGUAGUC